RNAcentral lists this ribosomal RNA (498 nucleotides) under uncultured bacterium. Its description in RNAcentral is "partial 16S ribosomal RNA". It matches the Rfam family "Bacterial small subunit ribosomal RNA", at positions 28 to 508 of the family's 1533-position model. The record is from RNAcentral.
GAUGAACGCUGGCGGCGUGCCUAAUACAUGCAAGUCGAGCGAACAGAUGAGGAGCUUGCUCCUCUGACGUUAGCGGCGGACGGGUGAGUAACACGUGGAUAACCUACCUAUAAGACUGGGAUAACUUCGGGAAACCGGAGCUAAUACCGGAUAAUAUAUUGAACCGCAUGGUUCAAUAGUGAAAGACGGUUUUGCUGUCACUUAUAGAUGGAUCCGCGCCGCAUUAGCUAGUUGGUAAGGUAACGGCUUACCAAGGCGACGAUGCGUAGCCGACCUGAGAGGGUGAUCGGCCACACUGGAACUGAGACACGGUCCAGACUCCUACGGGAGGCAGCAGUAGGGAAUCUUCCGCGAUGGGCGAAAGCCUGACGGAGCAACGCCGCGUGAGUGAUGAAGGGCUUCGGAUCGUAAAACUCUGUUAUUAGGGAAGAAAAAAUGUGUAAGUAACUAUGCACGUCUUGACGGUACCUAAUCAGAAAGCCACGGCUAACUACGUGC